GUAAGCAAGUGAGACUUCUUAGAGGGACUGGUGUCCUACAAGGCGCACGAGAAAGAGCAAUAACAGGUCUGUGAUGCCCUAAGAUGUUCGGGGCCGCACGCGUGCUACAAUGACGAUGCUAAUGAGUUUGAUAUUCUGGCUCGGAAGAGUCGGGCAAACUUGUGAAUCAUCGUCGUGACUGGGAUUGGGGUUUGUAAUUAUCCCCCAUGAACCAGGAAUUCCUAGUAAGUACAAGUCAUAAGCUUGUGCUGAUUACGUCCCUGCCCUUUGUACACACCGCCCGUCGCUACUACCGAUUGAACGGUUUAGCAAGGUCAUUGGAUUGGCCCUCAUGCGGCUCGCGUCGCUGAGAGCUGAGAAGAUGACCGAACUUGAUCGUUUAGAGGAAGUACAAGUCGUAACAAGGUUUCCGUAGGUGAACCUGCGGAAGGAUCACU
This 437-nucleotide ribosomal RNA is filed under the name Pseudorhabdosynochus lantauensis. RNAcentral describes it as "SSU rRNA". It matches the Rfam family "Eukaryotic small subunit ribosomal RNA", at positions 1393 to 1830 of the family's 1831-position model. Lineage: Eukaryota; Metazoa; Platyhelminthes; Monogenea; Dactylogyridea; Diplectanidae. The record is from RNAcentral.